CAGCUCACUCCACGAGAUUUUACUACGCAAUUCAGAAGCAUCGUGAUGUUGCAAAGGAACGUUAUGAUAUUUUUGUUGAACAAGUGACAAAAAUGAAGGAAUAUGUGGAGCUCAAAGUUGUUGAACUAAAAUCGAAGAUGUCAAAAGAAGUUCAGAAAAUGGAGCAAAACUUCACUUUGUUGCAUGGCAAAGUCGAUGUCAUUGUGAUUUCUAUAGCUAAGUUGGUUGAGUUUAACACUAGGUAUUUAAACAAGAUUGAAUGGAAGUCAGAAAAGGAUUCUCAAGUGUUUGAGAAGAUGGAAGAAUUCUUAUCUAGUAUCAAGGAGUCGAUUUCGAAAGAUGCUCUUUCGAACCAAUAAAAUUUUUCUCAAGAUUCUAUUUCUCAAUUGAUUUUGAUUGUUGAAACCAAUAUCAAGUCAGAGCGUGCUCCAAUAAUUGAGUUGGUUCUUCGAUUGCCAACUAAUGCUCCAUGUGCAGUGCAAAUGUCACAAGGGGCAGAGAAAGGAGUUGGAAGAUUUAGUUCUUCAAAAUAUUCCAAGAAAGGGGUUGAUGUUAGGAAACUGAGUUCGAAUCAAAUUAUGACUUCACUUCCCAUAUUAUUGACCAUGAGUUCUACAACAACAACAACUACAAGAGUACUGACAUAAGGUAUCUCAAUAAAUGAAGGAGCCGGAGGUUCGAGUUCAAGUUCUGUUCCACCAACUUCGAAUGAUGAUCCAAGUAAUAAACAAAAAACUAUUUAUGUGGUUCUAUCAGAAGAAGAGAUGACAAAGGAACAAGCUCUUGAAAUCAAGAAGCAAAGGCAAAUCAACAAUAUUAUGAGGCGAAGACAAAAUGACCCACCUGGCUUGAACAAGGGUGAUCCCAACAAGAAGUGAUGUUAUGAAAAGAUUGCGGAUAUUGUUUCGAUUGGGUUGAAUGAUUACUUUCAAAAGGUACCCAAGAAGUAUUUUGAUAUUGAGAAUUCCGAUUCCAAACAACUUGAUUUCCCAAUUAACCACAUGUUAUUCACAUCUUCUCAUUUCAAGAUUGUUGAAGAUUUUAAUGAUAAUGAUGAGUUCAAAAGACUGAAGAUUCGUUUCAAUGUAGUCUUGGGGAAAAGCGAAGAAGAAGUAUGGUAAUCUAUGAAUAUAAUGAAGGUGAUGACUGUAAUGGAGUGAUCUUCAUCCAACCCUAAUUCCAUAAAGGUUCUAGAACGUUCCUGGUUAACCAACUAUCGAUUAAUGAAUAUUCAGCCCUUUAAUUAAUUAUACUAUUAGUUAAUUCCUAAAAUAUAUUUCCAAAUAGUUUCUAAUUAAUUAUUAACCAUAAUAGUUAAUAAACCAAUUUAUCCUUUAUUUAUCCUACUCAAUUUGGGUCUCGAAGGCAACCCAAAAGGACCCUGUAAUUAUUAGAAAUAUUAUCAAUAGUUAAUGACCUUGGACACUCUUGCAACACUUUGCUGAUCUUCAGUUUGAUCAUGUGGAGGAAAAUGUUCCCAAUGACUUAAUUAUGUCAGGUAAACAAUUAAUCCUCAACUCAAAAAUAAAAUCUCUUCUUCAUAUACAAGCAUAUACAGGGGAAGGAAUUUUGUGACCGGGGUUUAGAUGGAGUACUUGUUGAAAUCCCAAGAAGAUCGCUUUCAAAGCCUAGUUGAAGGCAUUGAGAAGAAACAAGCCAAAAGGUUAGUAGCUCAUUCCAAGAGAUUUAACUAUGCAAUUCAGAAGCAUCGUGAUGUUGCAAAGGAACGUUAUGAUAUUUUUGUUGAACAAGUGACAAAAAUGAAGGAAUAUGUGGAGCUCAAAGUUGUUGAACUAAAAUCGAAGAUGUCAAAAGAAGUUCAGAAUAUGGAGCAAAACUACACUUUUUUGCAUGGAAAAGUCGAUGUCAUUGUGAUUUCUAUAACUAAGUUGGCUGAGUUUAACACUAGGUAUUUAAACAAGAUUGAAUGGAAGUCAGAAAAGGAUUCUCAAGUGUUUGAGAAGAUGGAAGAAUUCUUAUCUAGUAUCAAGGAGUCUAUUUCGAAAGAUGCUAUUUCGAACCAAUCAACAAUUUCUCAAGAUUCUAUUUCUCAAAUGAUUUUGACUAUUGAGACCAAUAUCAAGUCAGAUCGUGCUCCAAUAAGUGAGUUGGUUCUUCGAUUCCAUCUAAUGCUCCAUGUGCAGUGCAAAUAUCACAAGGGGGAGAGAAAGGAUUUGGAAGAUUUGGUUCUUCAAAAUAUUUCGAGAAAGGGGUUGAUGUUGGGAAACUGAAUUCGACUCAAAAUAUGACUUCACUUCCCAUAUUAUUGACCAUGAGUUCUACAACAACAACAACUACAAGAGCACUGACAUAAGGUAUCUCAAUAAAUGAAGGAGCUGGAGGUUCGAGUUCAAGUUCAGUUCCACCAAGUUCAAAUGAUGAUCCGAGUAAUAAACGAAAACCUAUUUAUGUGGUUCUAUCUGAAGAAGAGAGGAAAAAGGAACAAGCUCUUGAAAUCGAGAAGCAAAGGCAAAUCAACAAUAUUAUGAGGCGAAGACAAAUUGACCCACCUGGCUUGAACAAGGGUGAUCCCAACAAGAAGCGAUGUUAUGAAAAGAUUGAGGAUAUUGUUUCGAUUGGGUUGAAUGAUUACUUUCGAAAGGUGCCCAAGAAGAAUUUUGAUAUUUAGAAUUCCAAUUCCAAACAAAUUGAUUUCCCAAUUAACCACAUGUUAUUCACAUCUUCUCAGUUCAUGAUUGUUGAAGAUUUCAUUGAUAAUGAUGAGUUCAAAAGACUGAAGAUUCGUUUCCAUGUAGUCUUGGGGAAAAGCGAAGAAGAAGUAUGGUAAUCUAUGAAUAUAAUGAAGGUGAUGACUGUAAUAGAGUGAUCUUCAUCCAACCCUACUUCCAUAAGGGUUCUAGAACGUUCCUGGUUAACCAACUAUCGAUUAAUGAAUAUUCAGCCCUUUAAUUAAUUAUACUGUUAGUUAAUUCCUAAAAUAUAUUUCCAAAUAGUUUCUAAUUAAUUAUUAACCAUAAUAGUUAAUCAACCAAUUUAUCCUUUAUUUAUCCUACUCAAUUUGGGUCUUGAAGGCAACCCAAAAGGACCCUGUAAUUAUUAGAAAUAUUAUCAAUAGUUAAUGCCCUUGGACGCUCUUGUAACACUUUGCUGAUCUUCAAUUUGAUCAUGCGGAGGAAAAUUUUCCCAAUGACUUAAUUAUGUCAGCUAAACAUCUAAUCCUCAACUUGAAAAUUAAAUCUUUUCUUCAAAUACAAGCAUAUACAGGGGGGAGGAAUUUUGUGACUGGGGUUGAGAUGGAGUACUUGUUGAAAUCCCAAGAAGAUCGCUUUCAAAGCCUGGUUGAAGGCAUUGAGAAGAAUCAAGCCGAAAGGUUAGCAACUCACUCCAAGAGAUUUUACUACACAAUUCAGAAGCAUCGUGAUGUUGCAAAGGAACGUUAUGAUAUUUUUGUUGAACAAGUGACAAAAAUGAAGGAAUAUGUGGAGCUCAAAGUUGUUGAACUAAAAUCAAAGAUGUCAAAAGAAGUUCAGAAAAUGGAGCAAAACUUCACUUUGUUGCAUGGCAAAGUCGAUGUCAUUGUGAUUUCUAUAGCUAAGUUGGUUGAGUUUAACACUAGGUAUUUAAAC
Molecule: long non-coding RNA, 3587 nt
Filed under: Lactuca sativa (garden lettuce)
Lineage: Eukaryota; Viridiplantae; Streptophyta; Magnoliopsida; Asterales; Asteraceae
Description: long non-coding RNA (LSAT_LNC001142)
Source: RNAcentral